This 861-nucleotide long non-coding RNA is filed under the name Citrus x clementina. RNAcentral describes it as "Citrus clementina (C. clementina) long non-coding RNA (CCLE_LNC001831)". The record is from RNAcentral. Lineage: Eukaryota; Viridiplantae; Streptophyta; Magnoliopsida; Sapindales; Rutaceae.
AUUGAGUGAGUUUUGAACAACUAAAAACUGUCGACAAUUUAGAGAUUGCAUGUAGAUGGAAAGUAGCUCAUUUGUUUUUCUAAUCUAACAGAAUUAACGUUGUCAACCACUUAAAUAUUCUGGACCUUGUCACAGAAGACAAUAACCCAUCAACAAGAGUCCAAAUAAGGCAUUCCAUUCUUUCCAAUGACGAUCUUCCAAAUCGAGUUAGAUGGCAAAUAAAAGAGCGCUGGGGUCAAUCAAGAUUACGAUGAGGUGUUACUGAGGAAUUGAAAGAAGAAAAAAAUGAGAGGCCUGAAAUCGCCAGCCUCACAUUAUUUUUGUGUAUUCUUGCAUACAAGAAAAAUUAAAAGGCUCUUCCCUUCCCACUCUCAAAUCUCACCUUAUUUUAUGUGUGGAAAACAAUUAAAAUCCCUUCCCACUCUCACACAAUCACUUUAAUUAUGGUUGCACCGAAGAAAAUCUCACCUUUUCAUGCCAGCAGCAACUCAAGUUCUCCGCAAAAAUAGCUCAAGCUCAAGCAGCUCAAGUUACCAGCAGCACCUCACAACAGCAGUCAUGGCAGCAGGGGAGCACCGUGACAGCAGCAACAGUUGAUAGUAGGUGACAGCGGUAGGUGACAGUGGCAGCGGGGACGAGAGUCGGCGAUGAGCAGCAGUGGCAAAUCAGAUUCGUGAAGGAUGAGCAGCAGCAGCAGCGGGGACGAGAUUCCAAGGAUGAGCAGCAGCAGCAGCAGGGACGACACUUUUGAAGAGUGAAGCUGUGAAGUCUGUGAAGAUCAGAAUGUGUUAGAUUAGGGAUUUUGUAAAAAUUAAUUUGCGUUCGGUUUUUUCGUGUGGUCGGUUCGGUUUUUCGGUUUUU